AUGAACGCUGGCGGCGUGCCUAAUACAUGCAAGUCGAGCGAACGGACGAGAAGCUUGCUUCUCUGAUGUUAGCGGCGGACGGGUGAGUAACACGUGGAUAACCUACCUAUAAGACUGGGAUAACUUCGGGAAACCGGAGCUAAUACCGGAUAAUAUUUUGAACCGCAUGGUUCAAAAGUGAAAGACGGUCUUGCUGUCACUUAUAGAUGGAUCCGCGCUGCAUUAGCUAAUUGGUAAGGUAACGGCUUACCAAGGCAACGAUGCAUAGCCGACCUGAGAGGGUGAUCGGCCACACUGGAACUGAGACACGGUCCAGACUCCUACGGGAGGCAGCAGUAGGGAAUCUUCCGCAAUGGGCGAAAGCCUGACGGAGCAACGCCGCGUGAGUGAUGAAGGUCUUCGGAUCGUAAAACUCUGUUAUUAGGGAAGAACAUAUGUGUAAGUAACUGUGCACAUCUUGACGGUACCUAAUCAGAAAGCCACGGCUAACUACGUG
Molecule: ribosomal RNA, 496 nt
Filed under: uncultured bacterium
Lineage: Bacteria
Description: partial 16S ribosomal RNA
Rfam family: Bacterial small subunit ribosomal RNA
Source: RNAcentral